AUUUUUGGGCGCGGCUUUGCACGCGGCUUAUUGUUGGUGCCCCGAGGCCCCUCGGAAAGUCUCGUCCCAUUCCGAGUCCGGCGGACGAACUUCGCCCGCGCCCCCCACCAAGGCUAUAGCCCACCCGUUUUUUGGCCAUUUUUCCGCUGGGGGGUUUUGGCACCACGACCUUUGGGCGGUUAUUUUUGGGCGCGGCUUUGCCCGCGGCUUAUUUUUGGCACCCCGAGGCCCCUCGCAAAGUCUUGCCCCAUUCCGAGUCCAGCGGACGAACUUCGCCCGCGCCCCCCACCAAGGCUAUAGCCCACCCGUUUUUUGGCCAUUUUUCCGCUGGGGGGUUUUGGCACCACGACCUUCGGGCGCUUAUUUCUGGACGCGGCUGUGCCCGCGACUUCCCGCGGGCACCCCGAGGCCCCUCGCAAAGUCUCGCCCCAUUCCGAGUCCGGCGGACGAACUUCGCCCGCGCCCCCCACCAAGGGUAUAGCCCACCCGUUUUUUGGCCAUUUUUCCGCUGGGGGGUUUUGGCACCACGACCUUCGGGCGCUUAUUUUUGGACGCGGCUAUGCCCGCGACUUCCCGCGGGCACCCUGAGGCCCCUCGCAAAGUCUCGCCCCAUUCCGAGUCCGGCGGACGAACUUCGCCCGCGCCCCCCACCAAGGCUAUAGCCCACCCGUUUUUUGGCCAUUUUUCCGCUGGGGGGUUUUGGCACCACGACCUUCGGGCGCUUAUAUUUGGACGCGGCUUUGCCCGCGGCUUAUUUUUGGCACCCCGAGGCCCCUCGCAAAGUCUCGCCCCAUUCCGAGUCCGGCGGACGAACUUCGCCCGCGCCCCCCACCAAGGCUAUAGCCCACCCGUU
Molecule: long non-coding RNA, 853 nt
Filed under: Citrus x clementina
Lineage: Eukaryota; Viridiplantae; Streptophyta; Magnoliopsida; Sapindales; Rutaceae
Description: Citrus clementina (C. clementina) long non-coding RNA (CCLE_LNC006208)
Source: RNAcentral